RNAcentral lists this ribosomal RNA (382 nucleotides) under uncultured eukaryote. RNAcentral's name for it is "partial 18S ribosomal RNA". It matches the Rfam family "Eukaryotic small subunit ribosomal RNA", at positions 592 to 976 of the family's 1831-position model. The record is from RNAcentral.
UGUAAGCGUAUACCAAAGUUGCUGCAGUUAAAACGCUCGUAGUCGGAAUUUGGCAGUUCCGGAUGUGUGCACGUCGUGUGCGCACUUCGCGGGGAUUGCUUUUGUGGUCUUGCGUAGGAUGAGGCACUUUUAUUAGUGAACGUCCUCACGCAACCACUUUUUACUGUGAGAAAAUCAGAGUGCUCAAAGCAGGCAUUUGCCGUGAAUGUAUUAGCAUGGAAUAAUAGAAUAGGACUUGGUUCUAUUUUGUUGGUUUGUUGGGACUGAGUAAUGAUUAAGAGGGACAGUUGGGGGCAUUUGUAUUUCGGUGCUAGAGGUGAAAUUCUUAGAUUACCGAAAGACAAACUGCUGCGAAAGCGUCUGCCAAGGAUGUUUUCAUUGA